Nyctereutes procyonoides (raccoon dog) is the source of this 1929-nucleotide long non-coding RNA. RefSeq lists it as uncharacterized. Lineage: Eukaryota; Metazoa; Chordata; Mammalia; Carnivora; Canidae. The record is from RefSeq and is a predicted model, not a curated record. The transcript has 4 exons.
GCAAAACAUCCAUAAUGAAACCAGGAUUUUAUUUGGAAAUGCUUCUCUCUGUCAGCGAAUAAGCAACAUUACACUUCUUUGGAAAAUGCUAUUGAAUUGGAGAUGGGUACUCUUUUAAAGGAGUCCUGCUACAGGGUAGGAGAAACUUCUUGGAUUUCCCCGAAGAAGAUUAAGGGCAUAAAUUCUGGCUCUUCCUUUAGUGAGCAGCUCCAUUUCUUGCAUGAUGAUAAGGUAGCCAACCAAUUUGUCUCUGCUGAUUCUUGGACUAUCACCGGUCAUGAGAGCUAACCUGUGUUGGCAAGAUGCACGCUGUGUUUACAGAGCUAUCAUCACCCUGCCAAGACUGGAUUGGCAGCGGCAUCAUUUCCACUUCAAAUUAUCGGCUCUGGGGAGAAGAAAAUCCUGAACCCAGCUGAAGAGUCCUGAAGCUACCAUAAAUCUAUUCGGAUGAUUCAAAGAUAGAUUUCGAUAAGCUCAUUGUUUCUACGGAAAAUCAUUUAACGUUUCUGUAGGGGCUCACAGUUAACAUGUUGAUCUCACGUUACUACCUUAGUGAGCUCUGAGACAGCCAGGCCACCCAGCACGCUUGUCCUCGUUUUCUGGGAGAGGAAAGAGGGUCAGCGAGGGAACAACAGAUUUGCUGGUGAUAACACACUGACUCGUGGAGCGUGGAUACAAAUUUAGGUCUCAUCUCCUCGUGGAUUGUUGUUGCUUCAUCGACAAGUUUCAGGCGUGUCCAUUCAGGAUUCACUCGUUGACAUUAAUUCCUUAAAAAAGAAAAUUUAUUCUGGAUGACAUUGUGAAAGGCAUCAAAGGGAGAGAAAGCAUAAUAGAGUUCACGGUAGAGAGGGUGACAAGAGGCAACUCUAUGAAAAGGAGAUCCAAAUCUUCUCAUUUCCAGUUCCAGGAGGCUGGCUUCCCAGCAAGGUUUUAUUUAUUUAUUCAUGAGAGACAGAGAGAGGCAGAGACACAGGCAGAGGGAGAAGCAGGCUCCCUGCAGGGAGCCCGAUGUGGGACUCCAUCCAAGGACUCCAGGAUCACACCCUGAGCUGGAAGGCAGGCGCUUAACUGCUGAGCCAUCCAGACAGGUAAACUCUGUACGUCACAGUGAAUUGACCUCUACAGAUUGAGAGGCAUCUCUGGCCAAAGAUCCAGGAGAGGCAACUUCACUGGUCCAUCUGGGGUCGUGUGACCACCCAUGGCCAGAGGCACAGAGGCCCCCAGUUGGCCUGCCAAUGCCCACUCCAGAGAAAGCAGAUGUUCCUCUGAAGAGGGCUGGGAAAGGACUCAGAAUGUGUCUAGUGCAGUGCAACUUUCAUCAACACAUCCCCCAAGACUGCCUUCCAUUAAACAAGCAUUUAUCUGCAUUACAGGUAAAUACAGUUAUUUUCUGAUGCAUCUCUUCCCACUCCUUACUUCACAUUUUAUGCUCCAACAACAAAGAAUUGCUUGCAGCUCCAUCUCCCCAUCCCCUACUUACCACCCACAUUCCCCAACACAGUCAAUAAACGUCACACUUGUGUUCCUGUAGCCCUCUAUGCUCGUAAUGCAGUUCUUCUUGUUUUUUAGGAGUCAUGCCGGAUGUCACUGCUUCCAGCAGAGCUUCCAGUCCUCUUUUACUUCCUGGGCUGCUUAUCUCUUCUUUCUUUAUGCAUCAUAACAUUGUGCACGGAAAUCUCUAUCAUCUUCCCACUCCAUUGUCUGUGAUUUACUGUUUAGGUUCUGACAUCUUUAUAACCCCAGACGGAGCCUGGCCUAUAGUGGGCGCUUCGAGACAGUUGAAUGAAAAGUUUUCUUUUAGCUAAUAAUUGACUCUCUAGAGUCAAAAAAAAAAAAGAGUGCAUCAUUACGUGAGAAGUAUUGUCUGCAUGCACCCCUGAGAACUGUUAACUUGCCAAAGAAUUAGAUGUCAGGAAGUUCUAAUCAAAG